RNAcentral lists this long non-coding RNA (1271 nucleotides) under Mus musculus (house mouse). RNAcentral's name for it is "long non-coding RNA chr14:48196759-48198030". The record is from RNAcentral. Lineage: Eukaryota; Metazoa; Chordata; Mammalia; Rodentia; Muridae.
UGUCAUUUUAAGUGAAUUAAUGUUAUUUAAUUUAAAAUUUUUAAUAUAUGGUAUGGUAAACACAGAUGGAACACACGAGGAAGAAAGCUGUUUGGAAUUUGUCAGUGGUUUUAAAGAACAUAGAGAGGUUUUGAGAAUAUAUUGUUUCGGAACUAAGGAUCUGAAUAUAUAAAACAGAAAGGGUUUAAUGCCAGGAAUUGGAUGCCUGCCAAACCGUUUAAAAGGCUGGUGGGGAAGAGAUCAGGGAGAGCCCUCACUCAGGCUGGGACUGGCUCCACAGAGCUCAGAAGUUGCUGUAGCAGUCAGGAGCAACAGGCAUUUCCCAGUGUCAGGACUGCAAUGCUCACCAUCAGACCGAGACUCAUUUUAAAUUUCUUUACUGUGGUAAUUAUCCUUAUUUUUGGAAACAGCCAUCGGUAUUUGGGAGUGAAAUGUCACAGCUCACAUUAGCCAGAGAAGAAGGGAGGGGCACACAUAAAAAGUGAGACGAUAUGAAGAGGUGUGCACAAUUGGUACGGGUACACGGGAUUUUCGGCCUUGUUUUUAAAACCUUGUCGUUUCAGGGUUUUCGAAAUACAUGUCUGGCAGAAACAGUAUACCAGCAUCAGGACCAAUGAGUAAAAGUUUGGAAAAUAAAGUUUGAAAUACUUCCUGGGGUGAAGAAUAGAGUGGACGAUGACGUAAUGUACUAAACAGACUUGUGGUGACCUCAUCAGGGACACUUCCUCUUGGAUAGAUGGCAGUUGGCACAGAGACUCAGCCACCAGCCUGGGUGCGUGCUCAGCCCCACAGGGGAUGCCUGAAGCACACGCCCCUCCCCACCCUCCUGAGAUUCAGGGAUCAUUUCAGAGAGAAAUGCCCCAGAGGGACUGUAAGAGCUGGAGACAAGACAGGGCACUUGAACAUGUGUAGCCAUAGAUUAUGACAGCACGCACAAGGCCUGUGUAAGGCGGAGAGUCCCCAGCCCCUGCUGAGGAACUCUUGAUAAUUAAUGGCUUCUGGAAGGGGAAGAGUUGGCUUUCUUUAGGGCGUGGCCCCUGGUGAGUGGAACGAGCUCCAUUGAUGACCACACACCCUAGUACUAAUUGAGCUGGAUAGAUUUUUAAAGAGCAGAAAAAUAAUCCAGGAAAGCAGGGGGCUGAAUGGAUAUGGAUUGGGGACUGGAUCUGAAAAGAGUCGGGGAGGGGAAUUGAAUAUGAAAUUAUGAUAGAAAUGUAUUUUAUGAAAUUCGCAAUUAAUAAAUAGAAUUAUUAUCACAAGUGAAGUCAUGG